GGUCAAAGCGGGCCACUAUACAUAAGCUCGCGCCUUGAGAUGAGCCUGCGGCCCAUCAUGGUAGUUGGUAGGGUAACGGCCUACCAAGCCGAAGACGGGUAGCUGGUCUGAGAGGAUGAUCAGCCACACUGGAACUGAGACACGGUCCAGACUCCUACGGGAGGCAGCAGUGGGGAAUCUUGCGCAAUGGGCGAAAGCCUGACGCAGCGACGCCGCGUGAGUGAUGAAGGCCUUCGGGGUUGUAAAAGCUCUGUGGAGGGGGACGAAUAAGGGUUGGCUAAUAUCCAACUUGAUGACGGUACCCCUUUAGCAAGCACCGGCUAACUCUGUGCCAGCAGCCGCGGUAAGACAGAGGGUGCAAACGUUGUUCGGAAUUACUGGGCGUAAAGCGCGUGUAGGCUGCUCGGAAAGUCGGAUGUGAAAGCCCUGGGCUCAACCUAGGAAGUGCAUUCGAAACUUCCGAGCUGGAGUGCUGGAGAGGAAGGCGGAAUUCUCGGUGUAGAGGUG
RNAcentral lists this ribosomal RNA (507 nucleotides) under uncultured bacterium. RNAcentral describes it as "bacterial SSU rRNA". It matches the Rfam family "Bacterial small subunit ribosomal RNA", at positions 199 to 683 of the family's 1533-position model. The record is from RNAcentral.